Lepidothrix coronata (blue-crowned manakin) is the source of this 98-nucleotide small nuclear RNA. NCBI's taxonomy places the organism in Eukaryota, Metazoa, Chordata, Aves, Passeriformes, Pipridae. The record is from Ensembl.
GUGUUCAUUUCAGCAACACAUAUGCUACAAUGCAGAAAUAAUUAGCACAGCCCCUGUGCAAGAACAGCAUGCAAAUUCAUGAAGUAUUCCAUAUUGUA